UACGGAGGGAGCUAGCGUUGUUCGGAAUUACUGGGCGUAAAGCGCGCGUAGGCGGCUUUGUAAGUUAGAGGUGAAAGCCCGGGCUCAACCCCGGAACUGCCUUUAAAACUGCAUCGCUUGAAUCCAGGAGAGGUGAGUGGAAUUCCGAGUGUAGAGGUGAAAUUCGUAGAUAUUCGGAAGAACACCAGUGGCGAAGGCGGCUCACUGGAGCUGGUAUUGACGCUGAGGUGGCGAAAGCGGUGGGGAGCAAACAGG
This 255-nucleotide ribosomal RNA is filed under the name uncultured bacterium. RNAcentral's name for it is "partial 16S ribosomal RNA". It matches the Rfam family "Bacterial small subunit ribosomal RNA", at positions 524 to 776 of the family's 1533-position model. The record is from RNAcentral.